RNAcentral lists this long non-coding RNA (239 nucleotides) under Olea europaea (common olive). RNAcentral describes it as "long non-coding RNA (OEUR_LNC002488)". The record is from RNAcentral. Lineage: Eukaryota; Viridiplantae; Streptophyta; Magnoliopsida; Lamiales; Oleaceae.
AAUGCAUUGAGAAACAAAGAGUUAGAGUUAAAAUCUGAGAAGAGAGAAUCUAUUAGUGGUGAAAAUUUGAUGGUUAAGUCCAAACCAAACCCAAAUCCAAAAAUUUUCAAUUUCAAUAAGCAACCCGGACACAAAAAGAAGGUGAACUUUAAAGAUAAAAUGAAAACCAAGCCUAAGGGUAAAAAGUGUUUUUACUGUCUAGGUGAAGGUCAUUUUAUCAAAGAUUGUCGUAAGAGACU